CGGCUAACUACGUGCCAGCAGCCGCGGUAAUACGUAGGUGGCAAGCGUUGUCCGGAUUUACUGGGCGUAAAGAGUAUGUAGGUGGGUGCUUAAGUCAGAUGUGAAAUUCCCGGGCUUAACCUGGGCGCUGCAUUUGAAACUGGGCAUCUAGAGUGCAGGAGAGGAAAGUGGAAUUCCUAGUGUAGCGGUGAAAUGCGUAGAGAUUAGGAAGAACACCAGUGGCGAAGGCGACUUUCUGGACUGUAACUGACACUGAGAUACGAAAGCGUGGGUAGCAAACAGGAUUAGAUACCCUGGUAGUCCACGCCGUAAACGAUGAAUACUAGGUGUCGGGGGGUACCACCCUCGGUGCCGCAGCAAACGCAUUAAGUAUUCCGCCUGGGGAGUACGGUCGCAAGAUUAAAACUCAAAGGAAUUGACGGGGACCCGCACAAGCAGCGGAGCAUGUGGUUUAAUUCGAAGCAACGCGAAGAACCUUACCUAGACUUGACAUCUCCUGAAUUACUCUUAAUCGAGGAAGUCCCUUCGGGGACAGGAAGACAGGUGGUGCAUGGUUGUCGUCAGCUCGUGUCGUGAGAUGUUGGGUUAAGUCCCGCAACGAGCGCAACCCUUAUUGUUAGUUGCUACUAUUAAGUUAAGCACUCUAACGAGACUGCCGCGGUUAACGUGGAGGAAGGUGGGGAUGACGUCAAAUCAUCAUGCCCCUUAUGUCUAGGGCUACACACGUGCUACAAUGGCUGGUACAACGAGCAGCAAACCCGCGAGGGGGAGCAAAACUUGAAAGCCAGUCCCAGUUCGGAUUGUAGGCUGAAACUCGCCUACAUGAAGUUGGAGUUGCUAGUAAUCGCGAAUCAGCAUGUCGCGGUGAAUACGUUCCCGGGUCUUGUACACACCGCCCGUCACACCAUGAGAGCCGGUAACACCCGAAGCCCGUGAGGUAACCGUAAGGAGCCAGCGGUCGAAGGUGGGAUUGGUGAUUGGGGUGAAGUCGUAACAAGGUAGCCGUAGGAGAACCUGCGGCUGGAUCACCUCCUUUCUAGGGA
RNAcentral lists this ribosomal RNA (1043 nucleotides) under Clostridium botulinum. RNAcentral describes it as "bacterial SSU rRNA". It matches the Rfam family "Bacterial small subunit ribosomal RNA", at positions 494 to 1533 of the family's 1533-position model. The record is from RNAcentral. Lineage: Bacteria; Bacillati; Bacillota; Clostridia; Eubacteriales; Clostridiaceae.